UACGUAGGUUGCAAGCGUUAUUCGGAAUUACUGGGCGUAAAGCGUGCGCAGGCGGUUGUUCAAGUCAGACGUGAAAUCCCCGGGCUCAACCUGGGAACUGCAUUUGUGACUGCACGGCUCGAGUGCGGCAGAGGGGGAUGGAAUUCCGCGUGUAGCAGUGAAAUGCGUAGAUAUGCGGAGGAACACCGAUGGCGAAGGCAAUCCCCUGGGCCUGCACUGGCGCUCAUGCACGAAAGCGUGGGGAGCAAACAGG
Molecule: ribosomal RNA, 253 nt
Filed under: uncultured bacterium
Lineage: Bacteria
Description: partial 16S ribosomal RNA
Rfam family: Bacterial small subunit ribosomal RNA
Source: RNAcentral